Molecule: long non-coding RNA, 823 nt
Filed under: Coturnix japonica (Japanese quail)
Lineage: Eukaryota; Metazoa; Chordata; Aves; Galliformes; Phasianidae
Description: lncRNA (ENSCJPG00005019232.1)
Source: RNAcentral
UAGUUUUAGAGCAAUGGUGUGAGCUCCAGGAGGGUCCCAGUGCCGAAUGUUGGGGGUCAGGUUUGCACUGGUGCUGGUAAUGCUUCCUUAAAAGAUAAGGUAAAAACCCAAAUGAAAUACAGGAGGCAAAGUUCUCACCACGCCACAUAAAUCAGGAAGUGGAGGUUUAAAUAUUGCACAAAAUGUCCUGAAACUCGCAGUCAGGUUAGCAGAGAAUUGGAGGAAAGUAAAGUACUGGUGGUGCCAUCAUCCCCUGGGGUACUUUAUGACCUGAGGUGGUUUGCAGGGACACUGCAUCCAAAACCAAACAGCACCUGAUGUACAAAGGGCAGGCAGGCAGAGGGGAGAUGCUAUUUACAUUAUGGAUGAGGAGCAGAACCACUGAGUGACUUGCUUUAAACCACAGGCAGUGCACGAGCAGAAACAGGGGUUGGAUUCAGGCCUCACAGACUUUCAUUGCAGAUGAUUGGUGCCGAGCUGCCUUCUUUCUGCUCCGUGCCAGAGGACAGCACAGAGCAGCCACCCGGAGGUCACAGCCUGCAGAGCGCCAGGACAUAACGCACAGAAAUAGAUCCCUGUUACAAAAUGUCGCGGGAUGUUUUUCACAUUAUCACCUUUCAGAGCAAAAGAUGCAAAGAAGAAACCUCUGCUCAUCCCCAUCCUAGAUGUACUAAUUGCCUCUGAGACAACUUCGCCAAGAGAGAAAAAGACAGACGCCCCGCUGUCACCAGGUGAAGCAGUGCCCUCAAACACCCCAAGGGUUGGGAUCAGCUGCACUGUGUUCCUGGGACACAGCCCCCACACACAGCCCUGUGCCACCAGG